ACGAACGCUGGCGGCAGGCCUAACACAUGCAAGUCGAGCGAGGACUUCGGUUCUAGCGGCGGACGGGUGAGUAACGCGUGGGAAUGUGCCCUUCUCUACGGAAUAGCCCUGGGAAACUGGGAGUAAUACCGUAUACGCCCUUUUGGGGAAAGAUUUAUCGGAGAAGGAUCAGCCCGCGUUGGAUUAGGUAGUUGGUGGGGUAAUGGCCUACCAAGCCGACGAUCCAUAGCUGGUUUGAGAGGAUGAUCAGCCACACUGGGACUGAGACACGGCCCAGACUCCUACGGGAGGCAGCAGUGGGGAAUCUUAGACAAUGGGGGCAACCCUGAUCGAGCCAUGCCGCGUGAGUGAUGAAGGCCUUAGGGUUGUAAAGCUCUUUCAGCUGGGAAGAUAAUGACGGUACCAGCAGAAGAAGCCCCGGCUAACUCCGUG
RNAcentral lists this ribosomal RNA (432 nucleotides) under uncultured bacterium. RNAcentral's name for it is "partial 16S ribosomal RNA". It matches the Rfam family "Bacterial small subunit ribosomal RNA", at positions 29 to 507 of the family's 1533-position model. The record is from RNAcentral.